RNAcentral lists this ribosomal RNA (495 nucleotides) under uncultured bacterium. RNAcentral describes it as "partial 16S ribosomal RNA". It matches the Rfam family "Bacterial small subunit ribosomal RNA", at positions 28 to 507 of the family's 1533-position model. The record is from RNAcentral.
GACGAACGCUGGCGGCGUGCCUAAUACAUGCAAGUAGAACGCUGAAGGAGGAGCUUGCUUCUCUGGAUGAGUUGCGAAUGGGUGAGUAACGCGUAGGUAACCUGCCUGGUAGCGGGGGAUAACUAUUGGAAACGAUAGCUAAUACCGCAUAACAGUAGAUAUCGCAUGAUAUCUACUUGAAAGGUGCAAUUGCAUCACUACCAGAUGGACCUGCGUUGUAUUAGCUAGUUGGUGAGGUAACGGCUCACCAAGGCGACGAUACAUAGCCGGCCUGAGAGGGGGGUCGGCCACACUGGGACUGAGACACGGCCCAGACUCCUACGGGAGGCAGCAGUAGGGAAUCUUCGGCAAUGGACGGAAGUCUGACCGAGCAACGCCGCGUGAGUGAAGAAGGUUUUCGGAUCGUAAAGCUCUGUUGUAAGAGAAGAACGAGUGUGAGAGUGGAAAGUUCACACUGUGACGGUAUCUUACCAGAAAGGGACGGCUAACUACGUG